This 246-nucleotide ribosomal RNA is filed under the name uncultured Bacillota bacterium. Its description in RNAcentral is "uncultured Firmicutes bacterium partial 16S ribosomal RNA". It matches the Rfam family "Bacterial small subunit ribosomal RNA", at positions 796 to 1041 of the family's 1533-position model. Lineage: Bacteria; Bacillati; Bacillota. The record is from RNAcentral.
CACGCGGUAAACGAUGAAUGCUAGGUGUAGGGGGUAUCGACCCCUCCUGUGCCGGAGUAAACGCAAUAAGCAUUCCGCCUGGGGAGUACGGCCGCAAGGUUGAAACUCAAAGGAAUUGACGGGGGCCCGCACAAGCAGCGGAGCAUGUGGUUUAAUUCGACGCAACGCGAAGAACCUUACCAGGUCUUGACAUCCAACUAAAGCGGCGGAGAUGCCGUGUCCCUUCGGGGGAGUUGAGACAGGUGG